RNAcentral lists this ribosomal RNA (253 nucleotides) under uncultured bacterium. Its description in RNAcentral is "partial 16S ribosomal RNA". It matches the Rfam family "Bacterial small subunit ribosomal RNA", at positions 524 to 776 of the family's 1533-position model. The record is from RNAcentral.
GACAGAGGGUGCGAACGUUGUUCGGAAUUACUGGGCGUAAAGCGCGUGUAGGCGGCAACGCAAGUCGGGCGUGAAAUCCCACGGCUCAACCGUGGAAGUGCACUCGAAACUGCGUAGCUAGAGUCCUGGAGAGGAAGGUGGAAUGCUUGGUGUAGAGGUGAAAUUCGUAGAUAUCAAGCGGAACACCGGUGGCGAAGGCGGCCUUCUGGACAGUGACUGACGCUGAGACGCGAAAGCGUGGGGAGCAAACAGG